RNAcentral lists this ribosomal RNA (246 nucleotides) under uncultured bacterium. Its description in RNAcentral is "partial small subunit ribosomal RNA". It matches the Rfam family "Bacterial small subunit ribosomal RNA", at positions 26 to 285 of the family's 1533-position model. The record is from RNAcentral.
AGAAUCAACGCUGGCGGCGUGCCUAACACAUGCAAGUCGCACGAGAAAGGGACUUCGGUCCUGAGUACAGUGGCGCACGGGUGAGUAACACGUGAAUAAUCUACCUCCGAGUGGGGAAUAACUGAGAGAAAUCUUAGCUAAUACCGCAUAACACUUACGAGUCAAAGCAGCAAUGCGCUUGGAGAGGAGUUCGCGGCAGGAUUAGUUAGUUGGCGGGGUAAUGGCCCACCAAGACGAUGAUCUGUA